Molecule: non-coding RNA, 3004 nt
Organism: Anas platyrhynchos (mallard)
Lineage: Eukaryota; Metazoa; Chordata; Aves; Anseriformes; Anatidae
Source: RefSeq, a predicted model, not a curated record
GUGUAACAGACGCUGGGAUGUCUACAUGCUGACAUGCAAAUUCCUGUGGGUUGCAUGUGGCUGGGAGAGAGUUCAUUGCCUCUGCUCAGUGAUUCACUACAGAAUCCCUCUGAUUUGCCUGCUGGAAAAGCAGAAGAGCUGGUGAAGUAUUCAGCAUGCUCUGAAUUAUUCAGUGUGACAGAUCAACUGAAAGAGGUGGUGGAUUACAAUCUUUGUAUGAAGAAAUGCAGCUUUGGUAGAUGCUAUCUACAAAAAACAACAACAACAACAAAACUAUUCAUACAAAAUAUGCACUGAAAACAAAGUGAACCAGUUGUGAAUAUUAAUGACAAUGAUGGCCUCCCAGGGUACCCCUGACCAAGGCCUACAUGUUGACAUCAUUGUGUUGCAUAAAGAAAAAUUUUCUAGGGAGAUGCAAGCCUAGAUUUUCACAUAUAAUAAUAUGGCAUGGAUCUAAUAAAUUACCUGGAACUGGGUACUCAAUUCUGCUCUUCGACCAGCAAAGGAUGUUACAGUGCUAUGCAUUUGCAGGUCUUAGCUGGAGUCUGCAGAGACAGACAAAAGUGCCAACAUACAAAACAACAACAAAACAACAAUAAUAAUAAUAAUAAACAACUGCUAUUUCUGAACUGCCUGAAAUUUGGAAGAACUGUAAGUCUUGUGAGACUUGUCUCAGAAGGCUUAUCUGCCACAACAAAAAGAAAAAGGAGGCAAGGCACUAUUAUGGUCAAAUGCCAUAAAAACAUCAAUAAUAAGAGGUUUUUCAGUGCUAUUUGACAUUUCUUGGUACCUGCACCCUGAGGCUAACAACUCACAGUACAGAGACAUUUGGUCUAUGUUAAUUUAAGAAAAGCAGCUACCAAGGUGCUUUCGUAUCUCUACUUUGUGCUCUGAAGUUCUCUCAGAAGCAAUCUGAAGAGAUUAGAAAUCAUACACAUGGAUGCUGGAACAUGUUUGGUUUGUCACUUUUGUAUCUACUGUAAUAACUAGAACUUGGAAAAGGUUAUUAAUUUUUGGGGGGCUGGCAUGCCUCUUUGUCUCUGAAACAAUUUAUGUUAACCUGAGAUGACAGAAUAGUUUUAGCAGCUUCCUAGAAGCUGUCAUAACUAUUACAUUCUCCAAAAUUCGAUAAAUCAAUGCCUUUUAUUUUUGCAAGAAAACUGUCUGCCUCGUCUGUUCUUCUGUAAAUCUUGAGCUGCCAUUUUUCAUUUGCCUUUCGUGGCUGGUAUUACAAAAUUGCUUAUUAAAAUGAUUUCAGAAAUAAAUUUCUAUAAUAAAUUCUAGAGUAUAAUCACUAAAAGUAUUGGCAUGGAUAUGGAUUUUGUUGUUGUUGUUGUCCAUCCAUGUCUUCCCUUCUAAAGUUCAAUAAAGUGUUGACCUUUUCUACUUCAAAAGACAAAUCCUGUUUUAUUAUGUACCUUGUAUCUCAGUAUCUUGUUGACUAUAGUACAUUAUGAAUUUUACUGGUUAACAUAGUUCCUCCUAUCAAGAACUGGCUAUACCUUACUACAGUUCAUUGAAAUGUCUGACUGCUUUGGAAUAGAGUAAAAAUCUCUUGACAGAUGUCCUGACAAAGCAAUAAUGAAAAGGUCAUACUACUUUUCCUGCAGCAUUUAUCUUGUUUCUUUAGUGGCUGUGUACCAUAAACUAGAUCCAAUUAUAUCUAAUUAGAAACAGCAAGUUCCAUAAUAGAAGUUAAAAAGCCAUUAAACGCUUGUAUUAAAAUUAUCACACAUUAUAUUUCAAAAUUCUAAAACUGUUAAAUGGCAUCUCAUCAACAUUACUAUUCAGAUCCAGUCUAAAAUCUUUUUACCUUUUCUAAAGAUCAAGGUCACAGAGCUCAGCAGUUCUUGUUUUAUGGGGCCUUGGGGCCAUUUUGAACUAUUACUACUUCGAGAAUUGUUGAUUAUGAUUGAAUACUGGAAUAAAAGUACAUCAUAGACAUUCUGAGCAAGUCUUCCAUGACAACAUUAUCAACGUAUGGAAUAACAAAUGCCUGAUAUUCAGUGACAAUUAUGACAAUGCUUACUUGUCAAUUUUUGUCACCCUUUGAUAAGACACAAAUUAAUAAAGACUAAGUCUAAAAAUAUUGCAUAUUUGAGUAUGUACACCAAUUAUGUUUCCUUUGUUCUGAUUUUGAAAAGCAUAGUAAAAAUAACUGAUGAUGCUAAAGAAAAUAUUUGCUGUAUUAAUAUACAAUAAUAAUUUAGAAGAGUUUGGAACAGGCUAUUUUGAAAAGCCACAGAAUUUCACAGAGGUCUUUCAGCUGAAUUUGAAUUUUAUUAGACCUAUACAUUGUUACAUUGCUGAUGGCAUGAUCACUGUUACGGCACCAGUAAAAUAAGGUACUUUAAUUUUGUGGCAGCUUUUUCACUGCUUUAAAAUGACUUACUGUGCUCCAUCAGAUUUUUUAUGCAUAAACAAUAUCAACAAUAAACUUUGUUACAUUCCAGCUAGCUCCAUAUUUUCAAAUUUUUAAUUUGAAAAAUGGGUCCAAAGUCAAGCAGGAGUUAUGUCACUAAGGUUGUUUCAGUAACACUCACUUCUACUUGGGAAGCAUAUGGAUUCUGAUUAGUACAUUUGAAGAAGACUGGUGUACAGUAAGUCUCAUUUUGCCUCAGCAUUUUGUAACAAGAAGAGAUUAGCCAGGUCACUAUAUUUUUAAGCCUUAAUUCCACAGUUUCAAAAACCAGAUCAAAAUGUAACUUCGGUAAUUAUUUAACUAAAUGCUUAUUUUUUUUCUCUCUGUUUUGUCUUUGAGCGAUUCAUGUGUGAUAUACCCAAGUGGAUAUAACUAACAGAAGUACUUUCUAAGCUUAUCUGGCUUAAAAUAAAAAAUAAAUAAAAAAGAGAUUCUUUUUGUUACUGAAAAAAGUAACAAAAAAAUUUUUUGUUACUGAACUUGAUGUUCAUUAGGAAUCUGUAUAGAGUGGGACAGUACUAUUCUUAAUAAAAAUUAAGCUAGUGAAAAGAAAGUGAAAUAAAUGCAACUUUCUAACAGUUC